This 793-nucleotide ribosomal RNA is filed under the name uncultured bacterium. RNAcentral's name for it is "bacterial SSU rRNA". It matches the Rfam family "Bacterial small subunit ribosomal RNA", at positions 8 to 796 of the family's 1533-position model. The record is from RNAcentral.
AGAGUUUGAUCAUGGCUCAGGAUGAACGCUAGCGGCAGGCUUAAUACAUGCAAGUCGAGGGGCAGCGGGGGUAGCAAUACCUGCCGGCGACCGGCAAACGGGUGCGGAACACGUACAGAACUUUCCUCUGAGUGUGGGAUAGCCCGGAGAAAUCCGGAUUAAUACCACAUAGUAUUUUGGAGUGGCAUCACUUUAAAAUUAAAGAUUUAUCGCUUAGAGAUGGCUGUGCGGCUGAUUAGGUAGUUGGUGUAGGUAACGGCUCACCAAGCCAACGAUCAGUAACUGGUGUGAGAGCACGACCAGUCACACGGGCACUGAGACACGGGCCCGACUCCUACGGGAGGCAGCAGUAAGGAAUAUUGGUCAAUGGAGGCAACUCUGAACCAGCCAUGCCGCGUGAAGGAUGAAUGCCCUCUGGGUUGUAAACUUCUUUUAUCUGGGACGAAACACUCUUAUUCUUAAGAGCUUGACGGUACCAGAGGAAUAAGCACCGGCUAACUCCGUGCCAGCAGCCGCGGUAAUACGGAGGGUGCAAGCGUUAUCCGGAUUCACUGGGUUUAAAGGGUGCGUAGGUGGGUUGGUAAGUCAGUGGUGAAAUCUCCGUGCUUAACAUGGAAACUGCCAUUGAUACUACUGGUCUUGAAUUUUCUGGAGGAUAGCGGAAUAUGUCUGUAGCGGUGAAAUGCUUAGAUAUGACAUAGAACACCAAUUGCGAAGGCAGCUAUCUACAGGGAUAUUGACACUGAGGCACGAAAGCGUGGGGAUCAAACAGGAUUAGAUACCCUAGUAGUCC